This 2025-nucleotide long non-coding RNA is filed under the name Ananas comosus (pineapple). Its description in RNAcentral is "long non-coding RNA (ACOM_LNC021594)". Lineage: Eukaryota; Viridiplantae; Streptophyta; Magnoliopsida; Poales; Bromeliaceae. The record is from RNAcentral.
CCCCAUUUCUCCCCAAAAACCCUAGAAAUCCUCCAAAACCAAAACAAAAACCUUGAUUUCCGUCAAAUUUUUCUCCGAUCAAAUAAAAGGAUGCGUCUUUUGCUCGAAAUCCUAGUCUCCGCCCUUUCGAACGGUGCAAUUUGAUACCGAUUUUGUGGGAAUUGGACCAAUUUCUCUACUUUUUUUUUUUUCCUAAUUUUUACCCGAGCUUGGAACCCUAGAUUUUCGUCAGAUUUUUCUCCCUUCGCAUCAAAUAAUGCAUGUCUUAGUCGAAACCCUAAUCUUCUCUGUUUCGAACUGUUCAAUUUGAUCCUGAUUUUGCAAAUUUGGGCCAAUUUCUCUACUUUCCAUUCCCAAUUUUUACCAUAUUUUUACCAGAGCGAGAAACCUAGAUUUUGCGUCAGAUUUUCUCCGUUCGCAUCGAAGGCCAAAACUCUUGUAAAAAAAACAAAACCCUAAUCUCCGCCUUUCGACCGGUGCAAUCUCUUCCCAGUUUCGCCAAAUUUAGGCCAAAUUCUCCACCUUUUUCCUCUUUUUUUUUUUUUUUUUUUUUUUUUUUNUGUACUCAUUUUCACUUAAAAUUGUUAGCAUUUAAACAUUAUAUGAAUAUAAGAUUAUUCAACCAUGGCUACAUAAAUUUUGUUCAUUGUUAUUAUUUAGUGUGCAUUAUUGAACAUGCUGAGCAACCCCAUAGAGCUUGUAGAGUUUUACUCCACAAUUUAUCCCAUUUGUUUUUUUUUUUUCCUUUUUAAAUUUUUGUGGGUUAUUUGAUCCGCGGCCAUCCGAACUUUCGCUUGAAUUUUGAAAUUUUAUAUGUCAAACCAAAAUUUUUAAAAUUUUACAUUCGGCUGUGUAGAUUUAUAUUUUAAGAAUUUAAAGUGACUAAUAUAAGCCAAAUAAUGAAGAAAUAAUAAAAAGAAUAUGUCCGCAAUAUAGAAUAAUUUUUUUGACAUCAAAUUGAAUCCAAUAAACAUUGACCUUUAGUAUUUGACUUUUUAUAAAUCAAAUAUAAUAAGUACGGUCAAUUUUAUCCGUUACGCUGGUAUAUAAUUUAUAUUAUUUUUACCAAUUAGAUAAUAUUAAUUAUUUAAAAUUGAUGAAAUAUGAAUCAAAAUGGUUAAUUAUAAAAUUUUUAAAUUUGGGAAGGUAAAUCUAAAAUUUUGAAAAUUUAGAGCAAAAGUUGGAAUUGAUAGGAUAAUAUUUAAUGCUUUCUAUUUAAAAUUUUUAAAAUUUUUAAUUUUGUAGCUAUUGCAUCAUAUUUUAUGUCGUUCUCUUGUUACUACACUUCUCCAAUAACUUCCCAAUAACACCCCCAAUGAAACUUAAUUACCACACCCGUAUAGUUUGGGGGAGUUAUUCGGAGCCCCACAAUUUCCCCCAUUCCGUACACAUUGGGGUAGUUGUUGGGUUAGUUCUCAUCUCUCCGUGGACUCGUCCCCUCUCUCGCCCCAUUUCUCCCCAAAAACCCUAGAAAUCCUCCAAAACCAAAACAAAAACCUUGAUUUCCGUCAAAUUUUUCUCCGAUCAAAUAAAAGAAUGCGUCUUUUGCUCGAAAUCCUAGUCUCCGCCCUUUCGAACGGUGCAAUUUGAUACCGAUUUUGUGGGAAUUGGACCAAUUUCUCCACUUUUUUUUUUUUCCUAAUUUUUACCCGAGCUUGGAACCCUAGAUUUUCGUCAGAUUUUUCUCCCUUCGCAUCAAAAUAAUGCAUCUCUUAGUCGAAACCUUAAUCUUCUCCGUUUCGAACGGUUCAAUUUGAUCCUGAUUUUGCAAAUUUGGGCCAAUUUCUCUACUUUCCAUUCCCAAUUUUUACCAUAUUUUUACCAGAGCGAGAAACCUAGAUUUUGCGUCAGAUUUUCUCCGUUCGCAUCGAAGACCGAAUCUCUUGUAAAAAGAACAAAACCCUAAUCUCCGCCUUUCGACCGGUGCAAUCUCUUCCCAGUUUCGCCAAAUUUAGGCCAAAUUCUCCACCUUUUUCCUCUUUUUUUUUUUUUUUUUUUUUUUUUUUUUUUUUUUUUUUAUUUNNN